Molecule: ribosomal RNA, 429 nt
Filed under: Actinomycetes bacterium
Lineage: Bacteria; Bacillati; Actinomycetota; Actinomycetes
Description: Actinobacteria bacterium partial 16S ribosomal RNA
Rfam family: Bacterial small subunit ribosomal RNA
Source: RNAcentral
UAGGGAAUCUUCCGCAAUGGGCGAAAGCUUGACGGAGCAACGCCGCGUGAGUGAUGAAGGUCUUCGGAUCGUAAAACUCUGUUAUUAGGGAAGAACAAAUGUGUAAGUAACUAUGCACGUCUUGACGGUACCUAAUCAGAAAGCCACGUCUAACUACGUGCCAGCAGCCGCGGUAAUACGUAGGUGGCAAGCGUUAUCCGGAAUUAUUGGGCGUAAAGCGCGCGUAGGCGGUUUUUUAAGUCUGAUGUGAAAGCCCACGGCUCAACCGUGGAGGGUCAUUGGAAACUGGAGAGCUUGAGUGCAGAAGAGGAAAGUGGAAUUCCAUGUGUAGCGGUGAAAUGCGCAGAGAUAUGGAGGAACACCAGUGGCGAAGGCGGCUUUCUGGUCUGUAACUGACGCUGAUGUGCGAAAGCGUGGGGAUCAAACAGG